AACGUAGGACGCAAGCGUUAUCCGGAAUUACUGGGCGUAAAGCGCGUGUAGGCGGCCCUGCAAGUCGGAUGUGAAAUCCCACGGCUCAACCGUGGAAGUGCAUUCGAAACUGCAGGGCUAGAGUCCUGGAGAGGAAGGUGGAAUGCUUGGUGUAGAGGUGAAAUUCGUAGAUAUCAAGCGGAACACCGGUGGCGAAGGCGGCCUUCUGGACAGUGACUGACGCUGAGACGCGAAAGCGUGGGGAGCAAACAGG
This 253-nucleotide ribosomal RNA is filed under the name uncultured bacterium. RNAcentral describes it as "partial 16S ribosomal RNA". It matches the Rfam family "Bacterial small subunit ribosomal RNA", at positions 524 to 776 of the family's 1533-position model. The record is from RNAcentral.